GAUGAACGCUGGCGGCGUGCCUAAUACAUGCAAGUCGAGCGAACGGACGAGGAGCUUGCUCCUCUGAUGUUAGCGGCGGACGGGUGAGUAACACGUGGAUAACCUACCUAUAAGACUGGGAUAACUUCGGGAAACCGGAGCUAAUACCGGAUAAUAUAUUGAACCGCAUGGUUCAAAAGUGAAAGACGGUCUUGCUGUCACUUAUAGAUGGAUCCGCGCUGCAUUAGCUAGUUGGUAAGGUAACGGCUUACCAAGGCAACGAUGCAUAGCCGACCUGAGAGGGUGAUCGGCCACCCUGGAACUGAGACACGGUCCAGACUCCUACGGGAGGCAGCAGUAGGGAAUCUUCCGCAAUGGGCGAAAGCCUGACGGAGCAACGCCGCGUGAGUGAUGAAGGUCUUCGGAUCGUAAAACUCUGUUAUUAGGGAAGAACAAAUGUGUAAGUAACUGUGCACAUCUUGACGGUACCUAAUCAGAAAGCCACGGCUAACUACGUG
RNAcentral lists this ribosomal RNA (497 nucleotides) under uncultured bacterium. Its description in RNAcentral is "partial 16S ribosomal RNA". It matches the Rfam family "Bacterial small subunit ribosomal RNA", at positions 28 to 507 of the family's 1533-position model. The record is from RNAcentral.